RNAcentral lists this long non-coding RNA (4400 nucleotides) under Triticum aestivum (bread wheat). Its description in RNAcentral is "long non-coding RNA (TAES_LNC025120)". The record is from RNAcentral. Lineage: Eukaryota; Viridiplantae; Streptophyta; Magnoliopsida; Poales; Poaceae.
GGGGAGAGCGCUACCGAUGUGGGGAGGGGAUUAUUUGAAGAGCUCCGUGCCUCCCGCACAGACUUGACGGUUGCCGGCACCAUGGUCGCCGGAGGUGCUGCGCCCUCCUGCACGGCUUCGAUGCUUGUCGGGACCAUGGUUGCCGGAGGCGCUGUGCCCUCCUGCAUGGUCUCGACGCAAGCCAUCAUCAUUGCUGGCCCACCGUCCUCUUCAGCCUCGACGAGGUUCGCCGCGGCCGCGGCAUCCUCAUCAGCCAUCCUCUUGCGACACUCACGGGCCCAGUGGCCCUUGAUGCUACAAUAUCGGCACUUGUCCCGGUCGUCGUUGCCGGCACCUCGCCCGGCUCCACCCUGGGUGCGACCGCCGCCUCUGCUGCUCUGGGUACCGCCACCACGUCCUUGACGCUUCCUCGCCUCCCACUUCUUUGAGAAUAGGAGUUGUCCGCCGCCGAAGCUCUCGCGGCCGUCGUCAAGACGGUCCUCGACCACCCGCAACCGGCCCGUGAGCUCCUCGACGGAGAGCUCACUCAGAUCAAGCAAGGUCUCGAUGGAGACCGCUACCUGAGCGAAGCGAGAUGGCACGACGCGGAGAAAUUUCCGCACGACUCUCGUGUCGUCCAUGGUGUCGCCGAGCGCGCGGAGCUGUGACGCAAGGCUGGAGAUCCGCAUGGCGAAUUCGUCGACGAGCUCACCCUCCUUGAAGGCGAUGUUCUCGAAGUCCGCCUGCAGCUUCUGCGCGUUCGCCUCACGCACGCGGUUGCUGCCGAGGCGCUGGGUACGGAUGGCUUCCCACGCCUCCUUGGCGCUUGCCUUUGCCGCGAGCAUGCCGUGCAUCUCCGGUGGCGUGGCGCGCAUGAGGGCUGCCACGGCUUUCCUGUCCUCCUUUCUCUCGAUCAGGUCGUCCUCCAUGGGAGCCCAGAGGCUCGCCGCAUGAAGGUUGCACUCCAUGAUCAACGCCCACUCACUGUAGUUCGAGCGCGUGAGCAUCGGGAAGGUGAUGGGCACGCUACCGCUGAUUGCGGUCUCGCGCACGAUCUCCCUAACCACGACCUCACCGCGAUGGCCGCGCCUGGAGCGGCUGCGCCCUCGCCGCUCCUCCGGAGCCGACGACUGGGAACCACCCGAGGUGGUGCGUUGCUGCACUCCUUUACCACCGGCCAUGGCUACCACAACCAGAGGCUCUGAUACCAAUUGUUAGCCCAGAACUACUCGCUAGCACUCGAGUACACUGAUACACGACCGACGGAAGAGCCAAGUGCUACUACUGCCUGCGCUCAGCACACUAGCAAAGCACACACACUCACUAGUGCUGCUUACACACACAUGCACAUUGAAGAGAGAAGCUCACGGACACACCAGCUGUUGUGAAGCUCAAAUGGAUUUUGAAUGGAAUGAGUUACAUAGAUGGAGCACAGCUCCUUAUAUAGUGGUCACGAACCGACCUAAGCAAAAUAUCUACUAGCUAUGAAGUAAGCACUUGCGUCACAUACUAGCUUAUCUAGUAAGCUUCGUUUCUACUACUACUACUGCCUUAACUAGUAAGGAAUGCAAAAGUUGUUGUUGACGACCUGCACCUUCUGCAUGCUAGCUAAGUGACCGCUUGUGCUGCUGCCGCCGCUGUAGCCACGCAUGCAUCGGAGACAGGGUUGGGCCCACAAUCUCCCCCUCAACCAUGUCGGAGGGUCUUGAUGUCGAUGAUCCCGAUCUUGUUGCGCGGUUCUUGGAACUCGACGCAACCAAGUACCUUCAUUGGGAUGUCCGCCUUCUCGGCGGCCCGUACGCCCUGUUCGUGCUUCUUGAUCUCGGGUGCUGCGAUCGUCUCGCUGGCUCGAGAAGGUCCCCCUAGGCUUCGGAACCUGUGUGGAUCGCCACCAUUUUUGUUGGCAUCGAACAAGUCCGACCGCGCUGUUGACGGGGACAUGAACUGCCCGGGAACCACCUCGCUCGUGGGCGUCAGUGUUCCUGGGGUCGUAGUUCCUGAUGUCACACUGCCCGGGAACUCCCUUCCCGGGGUCGUCGUGCCGGACGCCGCACUGCCCGGGAACUCCCUUCCCAGGGAUGACUUGUCGGACAUCGCACUACCCAGGAACUCCUUUCCUGGGGUCGUUGUGCCGGACGCCGCACUGCCCGGAGUGGCUCCUCUCAGGGUAGCGAAGUCCUUGGUGUUCUUCCCAUCAGACUUGCUUGUCGGGUCUCCUCCGACAGUUGUGAGUCGUGCCUUCCGCACGGACUCGAUGGACCCCGAGCGCGUCAGGGUUGCUGCGUGGCUGACCAUAGAGCACCGCGCCUCCUGCACAGCCUCGAUGGUCGCCAGAGUCACGGUCGAGGCCUUGUCCCCCCAUGACCGUCUCUUCAUGGCCUCCCAGCUGUUGAGGCCCGUCGAAGAGUGCCGUGUUGCCCACACGGGCUUGCAGAACCCCGAGAACCUGGUUGUCGGGGUAUGGCCGACCUGAGAGUGCCGUGCCUCUUGCACGGUCUCACUGGUCACCAGCAUCAUGGUUGGGAAAUGGCCCACCAUAUGCGUCGUUGCCGUGCCUCCUGACACGGGCUUAUUGGGUCUCGAGGAUGUCGGGUACGCCUUUGCCGUGCCAACUUGCACGGGCUUGUCGGGUCCCGAGGAUGUCAGGGCCGCGAUUGCCGUGCCAACUUGCACGGGCUUGACCAGCGUCACAAGGGACGUGGUUGCCGGGGUGUGGCUCCCCCACACCCGGGUCUUCAUCUCCUCCCAAUCGAAAUCUCCCGAGAAUGUUGUUGCCGGGGAGAGCGCUACCGAUGUGGGGAGGGGAUUAUUUUAAGAGCUCCGUGCCUCCCGCACAGACUUGACGGUUGCCGGCACCGUGGUCGCCGGAGGUGCUGCGCCCUCCUGCACGGCUUCGAUGCUUGUCGGGACCAUGGUUGCCGGAGGCGCUGUGCCCUCCUGCAUGGUCUCGACGCAAGCCAUCAUCAUUGCUGGCACACCGUCCUCUUCAGCCUCGACGAGGUUCGCCGCGGCCGCGGCAUCCUCAUCAGCCAUCCUCUUGCGGCACUCACGGGCCCAGUGGCCCUUGAUGCUACAAUAUCAGCACUUGUCCCGGUCGUCGUUGCCGGCACCUCGCCCGGCUCCACCCUGGGUGCGACCGCCGCCUCUGCUGCUCUGGGCACCGCCACCACGUCCUUGAUGCUUCCUCGCCUCCCACUUCUUUGAGAAUAGGAGUUGUCCGCCGCUGAAGCUCUCGCGGCCGUCGUCAAGACGGUCCUCGACCACCCGCAACCGGCCCGUGAGCUCCUCGACGGAGAGCUCACUCAGAUCAAGCAAGGUCUCGAUGGAGACCGCUACCUGAGCGAAGCGAGAUGGCACGACGCGGAGAAAUUUCCGCACGACUCUCGUGUCGUCCAUGGUGUCGCCGAGUGCGCGGAGCUGUGACGCAAGGCUGGAGAUCCGCAUGGCGAAUUCGUCGACGAGCUCGCCCUCCUUGAAGGCGAUGUUCUCGAAGUCCGCCCGCAGCUUCUGCGCAUUUGCCUCGCGCACGCGGUUGCUGCCGAGGCGCUGGGUACGGAUGGCUUCCCACGCCUCCUUGGCGCUUGCCUUCGUCGCGAGCAUGCCGUGCAUCUCCGGUGGCGUGGCGCGCAUGAGGGCUGCCACGGCUUUCCUGUCCUCCUUUCUCUCGAUCAGGUCGUCCUCCAUGGGAGCCCAGAGGCUCGCCGCAUGAAGGUUGCACUCCAUGAUCAACGCCCACUCGCUGUAGUUCGAGCGCGUGAGCAUCGGGAAGGUGAUGGGCACGCUACCGCUGAUUGCGGUCUCGCGCACGAUCUCCCUAACCACGACCUCACCGCGAUGGCCGCGCCCGGAGCCGGCGACUGGGAACCACCCGAGGUGGUGCGUUGCUGCACUCCUUUACCACCGGCCAUGGCUACCACAACCAGAGGCUCUGAUACCAAUCGUUAGCCCAGAACUACUCGCUAGCACUCGAGUACACCGAUACACGACCGGCGGAAGAGCCAAGUGCUACUACUGCCUGUGCUCAGCACACUAGCAAAGCACACACACUCACUAGUGCUGCUUACACACACACGCACAUUGAAGAGAGAAGCUCACGGACACACUAGCUGUUGUGAAGCUCAAAUGGAUUUUGAAUGGAAUGAGUUACAUCGAUGGAGCACAGCUCCUUAUAUAGUGGUCACGAACCGACCUAAGCAAAAUAUCUGCUAGCUAUGAAGUAAGCACUUGCGUCACAUACUAGCUUAUCUAGUAAGCUUUGUUUCUACUACUACUACUGCCUUAACUAGUAAGGAAUGCAAAAGCUGUUGUUGCCGACCUGCACCUUCUGCAUGCUAGCUAAGUGACCGCUUGUGCUGCUGCCGCCGCUGUAGCCACGCAUGCAUCUAGCCAUGCAUGCAUCGGAGACAGGGUUGGGCCCACAC